This 460-nucleotide ribosomal RNA is filed under the name uncultured bacterium. RNAcentral's name for it is "partial 16S ribosomal RNA". It matches the Rfam family "Bacterial small subunit ribosomal RNA", at positions 338 to 795 of the family's 1533-position model. The record is from RNAcentral.
CCUACGGGUGGCAGCAGUGAGGAAUAUUGGUCAAUGGGCGGAAGCCUGAACCAGCCAAGUCGCGUGAGGGAUUAAGGCCCUGCGGAUCGUAAACCUCUUUUGCCGGGGAGCAGAGGUCCGGACGUGUCCGGGCCGGGAGAGUACCCGGAGAAAAAGCAUCGGCUAACUCGGUGCCAGCAGCCGCGGUAUUACGGGGGAUGCGAGCGUUAUCCGGAUUUAUUGGGUUUAAAGGGUGCGUAGGCGGGCAUUUAAGCCGGCGGUCAAAUGUCGGGGCUCAACCUCGGCCUGCCGUCGGAACUGGGUGCCUUGAGUGGGCGAGAGGUAUGCGGAAUGCGUGGUGUAGCGGUGAAAUGCAUAGAUAUCACGCAGAACCCCGAUUGCGAAGGCAGCAUACCGGCGCCCUACUGACGCUGAGGCACGAAAGUGUGGGUAUCGAACAGGAUUAGAUACCCGAGUAGUC